GUAGGGGGCAAGCGUUAUCCGGAUUUACUGGGUGUAAAGGGAGCGUAGACGGCUGUGCAAGUCUGAAGUGAAAGGCAUGGGCUCAACCUGUGGACUGCUUUGGAAACUGUGCAGCUAGAGUGUCGGAGAGGUAAGUGGAAUUCCUAGUGUAGCGGUGAAAUGCGUAGAUAUUAGGAGGAACACCAGUGGCGAAGGCGGCUUACUGGACGAUGACUGACGUUGGGGCUCGAAAGCGUGGGGAGCAAACAGGAUUAGAUACCCUGGUAGUCCACGCCGUAAACGAUGACUGCUAGGUGUCGGGUAGCAAAGCUAUUCGGUGCCGCAGCUAACGCAAUAAGCAGUCCACCUGGGGAGUACGUUCGCAAGAAUGAAACUCAAAGGAAUUGACGG
This 390-nucleotide ribosomal RNA is filed under the name uncultured bacterium. RNAcentral describes it as "bacterial SSU rRNA". It matches the Rfam family "Bacterial small subunit ribosomal RNA", at positions 527 to 916 of the family's 1533-position model. The record is from RNAcentral.